RNAcentral lists this ribosomal RNA (851 nucleotides) under Cladonia rangiferina. Its description in RNAcentral is "partial large subunit ribosomal RNA". The stretch from base 136 to 476 matches the Rfam family "Bacterial large subunit ribosomal RNA", at positions 856 to 1235 of the family's 2925-position model. Lineage: Eukaryota; Fungi; Ascomycota; Lecanoromycetes; Lecanorales; Cladoniaceae. The record is from RNAcentral.
AUAUUAAUCCGAAAAAUAACAGCUUGUUUGUGUGCUUAUAUUAGGUUAUGCUACGUAAGUAUUUAUGCAUGUAUGCAUUUUUUAGGGUAAUUUAUAAUAUAAAUAAAUAUAUACUUUUUGUGGACAUUAAGGAACUCGGCAAACUAACAGUGAGUAUUUGUUCUCGGAAGGACUAGAUAUGUAUAUUGAAUAAUCAGACAUAGUACGAUAAGGUUGUAUGUCUAAAGGGAAAUAGCCCAGAACAAGAGUUAAUAAGGUUCCAAAAUUUUUGUUAAGUGAAAUUAAGGCAGUAUUUAUCCCAAUCGGCCAGGGAAUAGGCUUAGAAGCGGCCAUUUUUUGAAGACCUCGUAACAGAGCACUGGUUUUCUAUUUUAUGGAUAAAAGCACCGAAAAUUUAACGGAUCUAAACAAAAUACCGAUACCUUGUCCAUAUAUAUUAAUGUGUAUAUUAUAUAUUGUAUAUAUGGGGUAGCGGAACAUUGGGUAGCUAUUUUUAAUCCUUUAUAAGGAUUAAUUUGUUUAGAGUUUAACUUAUUAUUCUCUGGACUAAACAAGCCCAAGUGAUAAUGCUGACAUGAGUAACGAUAAAGGAUCAACCAGGACAGAUAAGAUCACCUGAACAGAUAAUAUGACCUGAACAGAUAAUAUCGGAGAAUCCUCGCCUAAAGCUUAUGGAAUUUAUUAAAGUUACGGCCUCUAAGUUUAUUUUUUUUUCAUAACUUUCAACUAUUUAUAUGUAGAUGUUAAAUAUAUACUAGAUAUAAAUAUGUACUAUUUAUGUAAAUUACCUAGUGGUAUAGACGAUGAGAAAACCUAGAGUUUACAGUAAUUAACGUUUUUUAUUUACGUAG